CCUGAGUACGACGGAGCACGUGAAAUUCCGUCGGAAUCUGGGAGGACCAUCUCCUAAGGCUAAAUACUCUCUAGUGACCGAUAGUGAACCAGUACCGUGAGGGAAAGGUGAAAAGUACCCCGGAAGGGGAGUGAAAGAGAACUUGAAACCGUGUGCUUACAAGUAGUCAGAGCCCGUUAAUGGGUGAUGGCGUGCCUUUUGUAGAAUGAACCGGCGAGUUACGAUCUGAUGCAAGGUUAAGCAGAAAAUGUGGAGCCGUAGCGAAAGCGAGUCUGAAUAGGGCGAAUGAGUAUUUGGUCGUAGACCCGAAACCAGGUGAUCUACCCUUGGUCAGGUUGAAGUUCAGGUAACACUGAAUGGAGGACCGAACCGACUUACGUUGAAAAGUGAGCGGAUGAACUGAGGGUAGCGGAGAAAUUCCAAUCGAACUUGGAGAUAGCUGGUUCUCUCCGAAAUAGCUUUAGGGCUAGCCUCAAGUGAUGAUUAUUGGAGGUAGAGCACUGUUUGGACGAGGGGCCCCUCUCGGGUUACCGAAUUCAGACAAACUCCGAAUGCCAAAUAAUUUAACUUGGGAGUCAGAAUGUGGGUGAUAAGGUCCAUAUUCGAAAGGGAAACAGCCCAGACCACCAGCUAAGGUCCCAAAAUAUAUGUUAAGUGGAAAAGGAUGUGGCGUUGCCCAGACAACUAGGAUGUUGGCUUAGAAGCAGCCAUCAUUUAAAGAGUGCGUAAUAGCUCACUAGUCGAGUGACACUGCGCCGAAAAUGUACCGGGGCUAAACAUAUUACCGAAGCUGUGGAUUGUCCUUUGGACAAUGGUAGGAGAGCGUUCUAAGGGCGUUGAAGCAUGAUCGCAAGGACAUGUGGAGCGCUUAGAAGUGAGAAUGCCGGUGUGAGUAGCGAAAGACGGGUGAGAAUCCCGUCCACCGAUUGACUAAGGUUUCCAGAGGAAGGCUCGUCCGCUCUGGGUUAGUCGGGUCCUAAGCUGAGGCCGACAGGCGUAGGCGAUGGAUAACAGGUUGAUAUUCCUGUACCACCAUUAUUCGUUUUAAGCGAUGGGGGGACGCAGUAGGAUAGGCGAAGCGUGCUGUUGGAGUGCACGUCCAAGCAGUGAGAUUGAGUGUUAGGCAAAUCCGGCACUCUUAAGAUUGAGCUGUGAUGGGGAGAGGAACUUGUUCCUCGAGUCGUUGAUUUCACACUGCCGAGAAAAGCCUCUAGCUAGAAUAACGGUGCCCGUACCGCAAACCGACACAGGUAGUCAAGAUGAGAAUUCUAAGGUGAGCGAGCGAACUCUCGUUAAGGAACUCGGCAAAAUGACCCCGUAACUUCGGGAGAAGGGGUGCUCUUUGAGGUUCACGCUUCGAAGAGCCGCAGUGAAUAGGCCCAAGCGACUGUUUAUCAAAAACACAGGUCUCUGCUAAACCGUAAGGUGACGUAUAGGGGCUGACGCCUGCCCGGUGCUGGAAGGUUAAGAGGAGUGGUUAGCGCAAGCGAAGCUACGAAUCGAAGCCCCAGUAAACGGCGGCCGUAACUAUAACGGUCCUAAGGUAGCGAAAUUCCUUGUCGGGUAAGUUCCGACCCGCACGAAAGGCGUAACGAUUUGGGCACUGUCUCAACGAGAGACUCGGUGAAAUCAUAGUACCGGUGAAGAUGCCGGUUACCCGCGACAGGACGGAAAGACCCCGUGGAGCUUUACUGUAGCCUGAUAUUGAAAUUCGGUACAGUUUGUACAGGAUAGGUAGGAGCCUUAGAAGCGUGAGCGCUAGCUUACGUGGAGGCAUUGGUGGGAUACUACCCUAAUUGUAUUGGAUUUCUAACCCGCAGCACUUAUCGUGCUGGGAGACAGUGUCAGGCGGGCAGUUUGACUGGGGCGGUCGCCUCCUAAAGAGUAACGGAGGCGCUCAAAGGUUCCCUCAGAAUGGUUGGAAAUCAUUCAUAGAGUGUAAAGGCAUAAGGGAGCUUGACUGCGAGACCUACAAGUCGAGCAGGGUCGAAAGACGGACUUAGUGAUCCGGUGGUUCCGCAUGGAAGGGCCAUCGCUCAACGGAUAAAAGCUACCCCGGGGAUAACAGGCUUAUCUCCCCCAAGAGUUCACAUCGACGGGGAGGUUUGGCACCUCGAUGUCGGCUCAUCGCAUCCUGGGGCUGUAGUCGGUCCCAAGGGUUGGGCUGUUCGCCCAUUAAAGCGGUACGCGAGCUGGGUUCAGAACGUCGUGAGACAGUUCGGUCCCUAUCCGUCGUGGGCGUAGGAAAUUUGAGAGGAGCUGUCCUUAGUACGAGAGGACCGGGAUGGACAUACCUCUGGUGUACCAGUUGUCGUGCCAACGGCAUAGCUGGGUAGCUAUGUAUGGACGGGAUAAGUGCUGAAAGCAUCUAAGCAUGAAGCCCCCCUCGAGAUGAGAUUUCCCAACUUC
RNAcentral lists this ribosomal RNA (2409 nucleotides) under Staphylococcus pseudintermedius. RNAcentral describes it as "partial 23S ribosomal RNA". It matches the Rfam family "Bacterial large subunit ribosomal RNA", at positions 407 to 2821 of the family's 2925-position model. The record is from RNAcentral. Lineage: Bacteria; Bacillati; Bacillota; Bacilli; Caryophanales; Staphylococcaceae.